Molecule: long non-coding RNA, 1064 nt
Organism: Morone saxatilis (striped sea-bass)
Lineage: Eukaryota; Metazoa; Chordata; Actinopteri; Moronidae
Exons: 3
Source: RefSeq, a predicted model, not a curated record
UGGUCUUCCUCUCCAGGUGAUUAUUGUGAGGUGAACGUGUGCACUAAUGGUGGAACCUGUGUGACUGGAGCAGGAGCUCCGUUCAUCUGUAUCUGCCUCGAUGGCUUCUCUGGAGAAACCUGCAAUGAGACUGAGGCUGGGCCCUGCAACCCCAACCCAUGCAAGAAUGAUGCCAUCUGCGAGGUGACCGGUCAGUCCCGCAGAGGGGAUGUCUUCAGCGAGUACGUCUGCAAGUGCCAACCAGGCUUCGAGGGAGUCCACUGCCAGAACAGUGUCCAAGGGGCAGAUUUAAUUUCACAAAAAGGUAAAAGUUGAAAUGCGAGUCGAGGAGAGAAAGAUGUCUUGUGUGUUUGUUUUGCGCUGUGGUCUCUUUUCCUUCUUCGAUCCAGGUGCUCUCUGUUCUCUUGGCUGCAUGCGGAGGCUGAGGAAUUCAGCAACACACACGAACGCACAAAACAUUGCACGUACAUACACACACACUAACAGACUAGGAACCGCUGGGUUCAGCACUAUCUCUGCUUGUUUCUGAGUCAAGACUGGCAGCAAAACUGGCAGUGAGAUAAUGUUAGCAUUAGUUACACAGCCUUUUUAUCAGUUCACCCACCCUGACAGGAAUAUGUCCUUUCAUACUAAAAGAUUUGUUGUUCAACUCCCUCAUGCCUCAAACCACAGUGAAACUACACAAGUUACCAUCUAUUUUAAUCUAGAUUUCCCCAGCCCAUGUUUAUGCUCCAAACAGCUCAUUUAACUUUAAAAAACAGAGCCAAGUGUUUGCUGUGUUUUCUUUGCCCCACAUAUUACAGCUCAUCAGAAUCCAUACAUUCACAAGUACCUUGGCAGGUACUUUUAGUUUAGCUGCCAGAUUCAGAGCCUCUGCGGAGAAAGCAUUUACACUAAUUAGAUGAUGCCUCGAGGAUAACGAUGAGGGGAAUAUAUUUGACCAUGUUGGUUUAUGAAACCCUCUCUGAGGACUUCCACAUCAGGGAAGUACCCAUCCAUUCACAGCUACUGAUGACUGUGUUGUGACAUUUCAAGUGCUCUCUAAUUUGUGUGUGUGUGUGUGU